RNAcentral lists this long non-coding RNA (1841 nucleotides) under Triticum aestivum (bread wheat). RNAcentral's name for it is "long non-coding RNA (TAES_LNC007310)". Lineage: Eukaryota; Viridiplantae; Streptophyta; Magnoliopsida; Poales; Poaceae. The record is from RNAcentral.
CAAAAGAUCGUCUAUUCCCCAUCUUUUUUUCAGAGUUAACAAGCGGUGGUAUCAAACAAGUGACAAAUAUAACAAUAUGUUACAAAUUUAACACCGAUCACACAUAAGCAUAUCUUGACUCAAACAUAGCAUCCAACAGUAGUUUAGUACACACUCGCCCAAAUCAAACUCUCAAGACAGGACAUAACAUUAAAGUUUGACAACACGCGACACUUAGUUCUCGGUACUUAAAUUCAGAAACAUGAAAUAACAAUGACAGGCAGUGUAAAGAGCAGUAUUGUUGCCAUCCCCCAAACUUCUAAACUUCAAGCUUCAUUGCUUCUGCUCCAACGACCAGCCAAAAUUAUUCAGAACCACAACCAAUAAAACAGAACGUCUAGAAUAUGAAAAUUAAUUCAAUUGAGUUGAUCAUAUGGGUAGAUAGAAUCAUAAAGGAGAUUAUUACAUUGAUUCGCAUCAGCAGGGUCAAUGUUAACAAGGAUUCUGGAUGUGUUAUUUGAUGAAUAAAACAAAAUCUACAUGUAUUUUGUACACCAAGUUUAUUACACUGAUUCAGAGCAGCAAGGUCCUAUAAAAACAGUGAAUUCAUGGUGUUCUAAUUGUGUAACUGAUAUCUAACUAAGAACUAUAUUCUCAUAUUACCAAGAUGAAUAAAAAAGAAAAGUCCAACUGAGAGGAGCUGCUUCUCAUAAAGAUCUAAACAAAUGCCAACCAACUUGAUGGUCCAUCCUAAAAGAUUCUACUUUUUCAUGAUAAGCAGGUUAAUCGUGCACAAAUAAGAUAACUGAUAUUCCAACAAAUGGCAGCUAGCUUUGAACUCCACAAGAUCUCUAGUUUUGGUUGCAAGGCUGUCACAAGAUCCCUGCAGUUUUAGUUUUGGUUUGGUUGCAAGGCUGUCAGACUCGUACUAAUUUCAGAAGUUCAGAUAUAGUAAAACUCUUACUAAUCCCAGAACAUCUGAACUGCACAAGAACCCUGUAGUUUUAGAUAAAACAAAGCACAACAGGACUAUCCCUGAAAAUGGAAUACAGAAGGGCCAUUUUCCGAAUGAUACAAGUACUAUGCUUCUUAUCAAAUUAGCUUGUAAGUUCUCAGUUCAUGUGGUAGAGAAAAGGUUAACUUAUCCUUUAUGGUACAUAUUGUAUAUGCAAUAGUCUCUAUACUUUAAUUUAAUAUUUAUCAAUCGUUAGAACAAAAGAUUCACAUCUAUUAUCUUCAUUUAUGUUUCAUAAUGGAUUGCAAACUAAGAGUCGUUAUAAAGUAUUUGUUGGUAUCAAAGAGGGAAAGUUGUACCACCAAUUAUCAAAAGCACUUAAAUGAGGUCACCAAGGUGGGAAGGGAGAGAGCGAGGGAGAGAGAGAGAGAGAGAUAUCGUUUUGUUGGGCUAACAGCAGGUUGAUGAUAGGUGGAGGCAUUGGGAUUCCAGGAAGCACCACCUCCCAGUACAUCUUUGGCAUCUCCACGGAGUUUGGCAUCCCCGCCGUGGCCGCAUCGGCGAAACUCGCAAGCCAGACUCUCUCUCCUCCAGUGAACUGCGUGCAUCAGAGAAUAGAUGGAUAAUUUUAAAAAACGAGAGCUUGGGUCUAUUUUACAUAACACAACUGUAACCUGUGAAUAGAAACAUGAUGACCCCAGGUUGCAAUCAAGGACCAGCAAAUUAUAAGAAUCUAAUAAAAUGAGUAAAAGAAAUUACAUAUUGACGAAAUCCCAACAAUUAAGAAAUCCAUUCACGGUUAAUUCACAAUCCCAAUUAGCAUUAUACUCCUACCUCACAGCCGAAACAGAAGUGGUUGCAGCACUUCCAUACGCUAGCACAGAGCAUCCAACUAUCAGUCUGGACC